UACGAAGGGGGCUAGCGUUGCUCGGAAUCACUGGGCGUAAAGCGCACGUAGGCGGAUUGCUAAGUCAGGGGUGAAAUCCUGGAGCUCAACUCCAGAACUGCCUUUGAUACUGGCGACCUUGAGUCCGGGAGAGGUGAGUGGAACUGCGAGUGUAGAGGUGAAAUUCGUAGAUAUUCGCAAGAACACCAGUGGCGAAGGCGGCUCACUGGCCCGGUACUGACGCUGAGGUGCGAAAGCGUGGGGAUCAAACAGG
Molecule: ribosomal RNA, 253 nt
Filed under: uncultured bacterium
Lineage: Bacteria
Description: partial 16S ribosomal RNA
Rfam family: Bacterial small subunit ribosomal RNA
Source: RNAcentral